Molecule: ribosomal RNA, 435 nt
Filed under: uncultured bacterium
Lineage: Bacteria
Description: bacterial SSU rRNA
Rfam family: Bacterial small subunit ribosomal RNA
Source: RNAcentral
ACGGGAGGCAGCAGUAGGGAAUUUUGCGCAAUGGGGGGAACCCUGACGCAGCAACGCCGCGUGAUUGAAGAAGCCCUUCGGGGUGUAAAGAUCUGUCAGUGGGGACGAAAGAUGACGGUACCCACAGAGGAAGCACCGGCUAACUCCGUGCCAGCAGCCGCUGUAAUACGGGGGGUGCAAGCGUUGUCCGGAAUCAUUGGGCGUAAAGAGUUCGUAGGUGGUAAGUUAAGUCUGGUGUUAAAUUCUGAAGCUCAACUUCAGUAGAGCACUGGAUACUGGCGAACUAGAAUGCGGUAGAGGUAAAGGGAAUUCCUGGUGUAGCGGUGAAAUGCGUAGAUAUCAGGGGGAACAUCGGUGGCGUAAGCGCUUUACUGGGCCGUAAUUGACACUGAGGAACGAAAGCCGGGGUAGCAAAUAGGAUUAGAUACCCUGGUA